AGUGAACGCUGGCGGUAGGCCUAACACAUGCAAGUCGAACGGCAGCACAGUAAGAGCUUGCUCUUACGGGUGGCGAGUGGCGGACGGGUGAGGAAUACAUCGGAAUCUGCUUUUUCGUGGGGGAUAACGUAGGGAAACUUACGCUAAUACCGCAUACGACCUACGGGUGAAAGCAGGGGAUCUUCGGACCUUGCGCGAGUGAAUGAGCCGAUGUCGGAUUAGCUAGUUGGCGGGGUAAAGGCCCACCAAGGCGACGAUCCGUAGCUGGUCUGAGAGGAUGAUCAGCCACACUGGAACUGAGACACGGUCCAGACUCCUACGGGAGGCAGCAGUGGGGACUCUUGGCCACUGGGCGCCAGCCUGAUCCAGCCCUACCGCGUGGGUGAAGAAGGCCUUCGGGUUGUAAAGCCCUUUUGUUGGGAAAGAAAAGCAGCAGGUUAAUACCCCGCUGUUCUGACGGUACCCAAAGAAUAAGCACCGGCUCACUUCGUG
RNAcentral lists this ribosomal RNA (492 nucleotides) under uncultured bacterium. RNAcentral describes it as "partial 16S ribosomal RNA". It matches the Rfam family "Bacterial small subunit ribosomal RNA", at positions 29 to 507 of the family's 1533-position model. The record is from RNAcentral.